UACGUAGGGGGCAAGCGUUAUCCGGAUUUACUGGGUGUAAAGGGAGCGUAGACGGCGAUGCAAGCCAGAUGUGAAAGCCCGCGGCUCAACUGCGGUAGUGCAUUUGGAACUGUAUGGCUGGAGUGCAGGAGAGGUAAGUGGAAUUCCUAGUGUAGCGGUGAAAUGCAUAGAUAUUAGGAGGAACACCAGUGGCGAAGGCGGCUUACUGGACUGUAACUGACACUGAGGCUCGAAAGCGUGGGGAGCAAACAGG
This 253-nucleotide ribosomal RNA is filed under the name uncultured Eubacteriales bacterium. RNAcentral's name for it is "uncultured Clostridiales bacterium partial 16S ribosomal RNA". It matches the Rfam family "Bacterial small subunit ribosomal RNA", at positions 524 to 776 of the family's 1533-position model. The record is from RNAcentral. Lineage: Bacteria; Bacillati; Bacillota; Clostridia; Eubacteriales.